AGUAGUUUGACUCCGUGGCUACAGAACACGCUGGCGGCAUGCCUAACACAUGCAAGUCGAACGGGAUCUUGACUUCGGUCAGGUGAGAGUGGCGGACGGGUGAGUAACACGUGGGAACCUGCUUUGGUUCGGGAUAACCGCGGGAAACUGCGGCUAAUACCGGAUACUCCCGAGAGGGGAAAGAUUUAUCGCCAGAAGAGGGGCCCGCGUCCGAUUAGGUAGUUGGUGGGGUAAUGGCCUACCAAGCCGACGAUCGGUAGCUGGUCUGAGAGGAUGAUCAGCCACACUGGGACUGAGAUACGGCCCAGACUCCUACGGGAGGCAGCAGUGGGGAAUAUUGGACAAUGGGGGCAACCCUGAUCCAGCAAUGCCGCGUGAGUGAUGAAGGCCUUAGGGUUGUAAAGCUCUUUUGCCAGGGAAGAUGAUGACUGUACCUAGAGAAUAAGCCCCGGCUAACUUCGUG
This 463-nucleotide ribosomal RNA is filed under the name uncultured bacterium. RNAcentral's name for it is "bacterial SSU rRNA". It matches the Rfam family "Bacterial small subunit ribosomal RNA", at positions 1 to 507 of the family's 1533-position model. The record is from RNAcentral.